AUAAAAUCAUAAGAAAUGUUUUCUGGUGGUGUGUAGCAGUUAACCACAUUUAAGUAAAAAUAUUUUAAAUGAUUGUUACCAGAGCUGAAUUACAUUCAGGCUUGUGGAGAACAGCUUUUUUUUAUCUACUCUGUGGCUGGCCAAUGUAAAUAAGCAAUGAUUUCAUGAAUGCAGCGAGAGAGUUUAUUUGAUGUAUUUUAAAAUCACUGAUAAUAUUUAUUGAUGUAUUUUAAAAUCACUGAUAAUAUUUAUUGAUGUAUUUUAAAAUUACUGAUAAUAUUUGUUUUGUGGCUGGAAGAUGGUAACCAUGGUGACUUGUGAAUUUUUAUGAAGAUUAAUAAAAAGCAGUAAAAAAUUAUUAAUGGUUGUCAGAAGGAAUUUUUUUUUCAAUGAUCAAUCAAUCAUCUACAUUCUACAGUAACAAUUUUCCUUAACUCAAAUAAUAUUUCAAUACAUAUCUUAUAAAGUAUUCAUAUAUGUACAAUAUAGACCAAUUUUGAGCUAGUCUGAUAUCAGUAUAUUAGUUAUUAUGAACAUAUACUAUCAGAACUACCAUUUGCAUAUAGUGCACGUACAUACAUAACACUAGCCAACAACCAUUAAAAAAAACACUACUAUAUACACUUACAUAAAAAAAAACAUAGACAAGUACAGAUUAUUCACUAUUAUAUUCUAGAGCCAAUUCCAAAAGUGUAUUAUCAAUAAAAGAAAAUAAUUUUUUUUUAAAGAACAAUAUUUCAAUAUGAAGGAAAAUCUGUAUUCUGAAGUUCUUGUAUAUGUUUGGUACCAAUCAAUGUAAAUUAAUCAAUCUUUGAUAAAAAAAAAUCCCGAAAA
Molecule: long non-coding RNA, 834 nt
Organism: Bacillus rossius redtenbacheri
Lineage: Eukaryota; Metazoa; Arthropoda; Insecta; Phasmatodea; Bacillidae
Exons: 2
Source: RefSeq, a predicted model, not a curated record